UCGGGGUGUAGCGCAGUCCGGUUAGCGCACCUGCUUUGGGAGCAGGGGGUCGUGGGUUCGAAUCCCGCUACCCCGACGGA
This 80-nucleotide transfer RNA is filed under the name Phocaeicola vulgatus PC510. RNAcentral describes it as "tRNA-Pro". It matches the Rfam family "tRNA". From Rfam's summary of the family: Transfer RNA (tRNA) molecules are approximately 80 nucleotides in length. Their secondary structure includes four short double-helical elements and three loops (D, anti-codon, and T loops). Further hydrogen bonds mediate the characteristic L-shaped molecular structure. tRNAs have two regions of fundamental functional importance: the anti-codon, which is responsible for specific mRNA codon recognition, and the 3' end, to which the tRNAs corresponding amino acid is attached (by aminoacyl-tRNA synthetases). tRNAs cope with the degeneracy of the genetic code in two manners: having more than one tRNA (with a specific anti-codon) for a particular amino acid; and 'wobble' base-pairing, i.e. permitting non-standard base-pairing at the 3rd anti-codon position. Lineage: Bacteria; Pseudomonadati; Bacteroidota; Bacteroidia; Bacteroidales; Bacteroidaceae. The record is from RNAcentral.